RNAcentral lists this long non-coding RNA (5759 nucleotides) under Sus scrofa (pig). Its description in RNAcentral is "lncRNA (ENSSSCG00050051215.1)". The record is from RNAcentral. Lineage: Eukaryota; Metazoa; Chordata; Mammalia; Artiodactyla; Suidae.
AAAUCAAACUCUGGAAUUUGACAGACAACAAAAACCAAAUGCUCAAAUUUUUUAUGUGAUGAUGUAUGAAGGAUCCUUUUAUGUUUUCAAAAUAUCUCUUGGAGAGAUAUCAUUGAUGGUGUAAAUAAUAUUUACUUUGAGCCUGUGAUGCUAGAAUAUUAAAUUUUGUUAGUAAAUCUUCCCUUGUGGUCCCAUCAGGUGAAAAUUGUCGAGGAUUUCACUGUACGUGCAGAAUUGCUAAAUUAUUACAACCAGUGGCAGUGUUUUCUGAUCACUGGAAAUAAAUGUGUGUGUGUGUGUGUGUGUGUGUGUGUGUGUGUGUGUGUGUGUGUAGUGAUUCAUAUUACUGAGAUUCCCUGGGCUUUUUCAGUUAAAAUUAAAUGAACCAUUGUUAUAGGAUUUUUUUCUAUGUAAUUUUAACUAAAGCUUAGUUAUUUCAAAAAAAAGAUUUAAGAACUGACCCCAAUUCUUCUUUUGUUGAUUAAUAACAGUGUCUUUGGACAUUUAGACUGUAAUUUUGGAAGGCUGCACCUCAAGUGGGAAUGUUUCUUGAUGUUAGAUAUGAAGCCGACUUCUCGAGUCCAGGGAAUCAAUGACUAUCAUCAGCACCAGUUAUGUUAGCAUUGACUUAAGACAUCUUGGAAAUAUGCUUUGCCUAAGUAUCUGAGAAUUUUUCCAAAUAAAAUACCAUCUUUCCAUCUGUCAAAUAAAUUUUGUUCGAAUUUUAUUCCUUUUGUGUAAUUAUAGUACUGCCAUUUAAGCCACCAAAAAUAUCUUACAUGUUACCUGCUGAGGACCAGAAAAGUUCUCCUCUGCUAUACAGUGUCAGUGUUCUCCAUCAUUUAUUCUGACAUAUUAGACCUAUCUAAUUCACUGCGCUUUGUAUGUAUAGAAGGAUGCUCUUGAUGUCACUGAUGCUCAUGUGCUUUCAUGUGGUGAUAGACUGAUGAGGGUCAGCAGUUCCUUACUCAUUGCAUGUUCUGGAAAGUUAGCUGCUGGCUUGGUCACUGUCCACAGUUCUGCUUAUUUACUCUCCAGAAUUUGUGGCCCCACAGUUCAGACUGCACACUUUUUUGCCCGCCCUUCCCAUCCCCACAUGGAAGCUGGUUAGCAGGCAUUAUGUUAUCUGUCAUUGGUACAUUUCCAACCCUGCAGAGCUGAUGCUACUCUAAACCUGGCUUCAGUGCUGAUAGAGUGGCUACGUUCCAGCUCACCACUCAUGACUCAGACUUUCCAACUGAUGCAUAGAGGGUGUUGAGGAAACUGUUUAAGAAGCUACUUAUUGUAGCUAUAACCAGUCUGUAUCCCAGCUAUACUGGCCCUUAAACAUGGUCCUCUCUAUUCUCUGUAACAUUCAGCUGACUCUACACAUUGACUUAAUGUUGAUACCAUACUGGAUGGAGUUUAUUUCUGACCAUUACUCUUAAGUAGAAAAUGUGUAAGCUGGAUCAUGUGCAUUGCCUCAGUGUCACAUACACCAAGGAAUGGAUACUUCUUUGGGCAUUUUUCUUCUCCUGCAGCAGUUGUCAGCACAUCAGUUGUCAACAAACUGACAGAGAGCUGAAGAUUCUUGCUGUCCCUAGUCAUUAAAUUUGCUCCAACUAAGUAAGAAACCUCCAAUGAGCAUAGUACCAGGUCCCUGGAGGAAGACAUAUAGGACAAAUAAAAGACAAAGUCCCUGACAUUGAGGAAUUUGUUAUUUACUGUCACAGUCACAAUAGUCUUGCAAAAGUGAUUUCAAACAUUUAAAAUCCAUAUUUUAUAUUGCACAUGUACACCAAGGCCAAAAGUACCAAGGAAAGAAACAGGAGAAAUGAACAAAUAAUAUGUGAUAAGUUUCAUUUGUAAAGAUUUUUUUUUAGAGAAAUUGAAUGGCAAUCCAGGUUUAUAAGGAAACAGGACUGGUUCAGAGAAAGAAAACAAGAAUUUAAGAAGGAGGUAACCACAUGGGAAAAAGUAGAAGUGGUUGUGAGAAACUAGGUCACCUUGUAGAGAAUAGCACGCAGAUUUGGCUGGGAUGAGGAACGCUGACAGGAGAAGCUGAAACUGAGAUUUCCAAGAUGGUAGAGCAAGAUAGAGACAAUUGACAGGAGGCCUGGAACUCCACGCACAGGCUGGUGUUGAAUCUAAUGACUCAACACCACACAAUUCAAGGCAGGGGACAGCUCCAUUAUUUUGUUUUACAUUUUCUAGAUGUUGUGGAGAUAUUUAUUUACCUGAUCUUUAUAAGCUGGAGCCAGUUCUUUUUCAUGGACCUUGGAUAACAGUCAAGUUCCAAUCAGGAGAGAAAAACCACACAGUAGCUUGAACAGGAAAGUUGAAUAUAAAGCAUUAUUCUUCAUAUCAGAGGAUUGGAGCAAUAAGAGACUGACUAGUAAAAAAAGUAAAGGACUCUAAAGAAGAUAAGAAGAUCAGUUAUAAGGAGUAGCUACUGUCCUUAGAGCUUAGACAGAGUGUCCAAGGAAAAACCUCCCCAUCCCUCACCUUUGCCUGAGGAUUAAAAUCCAGACAUUGUAGGAGAGAGGAGAGCUGUGGCUCAUAAAUGGCAGAGAAGUCUUGGGGGUACCGUGAUGAUGGAACUUGCUGGGAAUCUGCCCUUGGUGCCAGAAAAAGCUGUUCACAAGGAGAUGUCUAUCUCCCACAGUAUCUCUACAACACCUUUUACUGACAAAAUUCAACAUCAUACUAGCUGAUACUAGUUGACCGUGUGUAUAUCUAUAUCUAUAUAGAUAUAUAGAUAUUUAAAAGGUCUAAUUCAAACUCAAUUUUUGCAGCACAAGCAAUGAGGUAUGAAUUUGCAGCUGAGUAAUAAAUUGAUAACUGGAAUACCUGACCUCUCAUUUCCUGAGAGUUUACCGGUGCCCACUUUCAUUUUUAAAAUAUAAAACCAUAUUGAGGAGUUCCCAUUGUAGCUUGGCAGGUUGAGAACCCAACUAGCAUCCAUGAGGAUGUGGGUUCAAUCCCUGGCCUCACUCAGUAGCUUAAGGAUCUGGUGUUGCCAUAAGCUGUGGUAUUGGUCACAGAGACGGCCCAGAUCUGGCAUUGCUGUGGCUGUGGCUGGCAGCUGCAGCUCUGAUUCAACCCCUAGCCUGGGAACUUCCAUAUGCCACAGGUGAAGCCCUUAAAAAAUAAAAUGAAAUAUAAAACCAUGUUGAAUACACUUUUUAAACUAGUCAUCUGUGUUUCACCUACCCACCCAACUCCACCUCCUCCAGAGUUCCUGAUUAGUACUUGGAGGGAAUAUGACCCAUGGCUGGAAAUCAGUUUUACAUUCAAUAGAACUAUUGACCAGCUCUAGAUGCUAAUGAUGGAAGAAGAAUGGAUUUAUCAGUUCUUAUGAAAAAGAUCUGGCAUUGGGCAGUUAUUUUUCUCUAAGGACACUAAAGGCCCACAAUUUGGUAUGGUCCCUAAAAAAAAAAAUACAAUCUUAGGAUGCAUUAGUGGGAUUCAGAACAAGGGAUAUAUUGGCUCAAUUGUUUAUCUGCAGAACCAUGGUCUAAACACUGCAUUCGAUUCUAGGGACUCCCUUUUAAAGAAGGACAGUGAAGAAUUAUGGCACUUGCAAAACAGUAUGAUGAAGAAGCUAAGAAUGGUGGGAGGACCUGGGGAUGUUAGCCUAAGAAAAAGAAGGCAGAAACAAGACUUGGUUACAACCUGUAUAAGUGCCUUCAUAUUGGAAAAUGAUUUAAACUUAUUCAUUGUCAUCCCAGAGGGCAGAAGAGGAACCAUAAGGAAUAAGUUAUGGGAAGGAACUUGAGAUCCAGUCUGAGAAGGACUGUCUCAAUAUAAGCGUUGCUUAGGAAAAGCUGGGGCUGCUUGGGGAAAUAAUAAGUCAUCUCUCUUUGGACUGAGGUAGGACAAAUUUACUUGGGUUUCCUUCUUUCUCUGGUCUUUUAUGAGAUUCUAUGAACAGGCUAAGGUAGUCCUGCUUAUUAUCCCAAUAUUGCUUCAAAGAGACAAAGCUCAAACCUCAUAUUUAACCCAUCCUCUAGGUAAUUUUUACCUAAUGAGGUCAUACCUCUUUUAGGAAGAAAACAAUGAGGAAACCACUAAAAUCAGCUUUUCAUAUAGGGGCAGCAGUAAAUCUUGCAAUCAUGUCAAUCCUAGAGGCACAAAUAAUUGAAUUCCUCUAUGUAAUUAAGGACCAUUACUAAUACCACUAUUUGAAUGUGCUCUUCAGGAUGUAGACAUUAUUAUUAUAAUAAAAAGAAAGGAUUUGAUGGUUCAUUUUAAGCUCAUGUGAAUUCUUAGCUUAAGGAUUAUUAUAAUGCUAUAAUGUGAAGCAAUUUCUAAUAUAUAGCUAUUGCAAAAUAACCUAAUUACAUUUUAAGAGGUGAACAAUGACUGUUUUAUAAAUAUUUUCUAAGAAACUUGACUUAGUCCCUCUAGUUUUCUAUGCAGAUAACCCUUUUAAAUGAAGUCAGAGUUAUAUGCAAUUCAGGGUACCAGAUUAGAUGUUAAAUGUCAAAGGUAUAGAUGUGAAAGCUAUGAAUAUUAUGUCAGUAAUGGUAUAGUCUCAAUAAUGCUUUGAGCCCUUCAGUAUAGGCAUUUCUUGAAAAGUAAAAAGGGUGAUUAUAAUGAUGAUGGUGAUGAUGAUGGCAAUAAUAAUAAUGAAGUCUAAAGACAAGUUUGAGUGCUGAGAGAGGUUUCUGAAACUUUCCUAGCCCUGGCCAAUCUUCUCUUUUGGUUGUCUGCAAGUUAACUCAAUUUCUCAAUGUCCAAAAUUCUCUGGAAGACAUCCAUCAAUCCUGAAUGCUAGUUAAACAUUCGGAAGCAUAAUUUAGUGACCUGUCUUCCAUUCUAAAUCCACGAUUAUAUCCAAUAAAUAUAACCUUCUAGGGAAAGAAUAUUCAUUUGUUCUGCCACCCAUACCUGAGUACCUACUUUGUGACAGGCAUUUUAUUUCAAGCGGCUGGGAAAACCACUGGUAAACAGCAAGCAACUAUAACUUAGGACUGAACAAGUCUAUUCAUGGCCUCCCUAUUGAGUGGUGACUGUAAGUGGCCUGCAGUACCUCCAUCCCCAUCAGACUGGCUGAAUGUUACAGCCAUAAUGAAGCAGGAAUAAUUUUGUUUCUAGUAUCUCCAUUUUUUAGAGCUCCCUUCCUGACACUUGAUAUUAGGUGGAACGGCCUCAUGUUGAUUACAUUUUGGCAGUACAGAAUCACUUUUCCAACAUGCACAGUUUGUUAUCGUGUUACAUAAUUACAUUAGUGGAAACUAAUUUAUCUUUUUAAUCUGUCCUAGAUAUAAACUUUCUCACUUGGGAAAAAUUUGCCAUCUGUAUACUUUCAUUUUUUUAAAAAAAUAUUUCAUCUUUAUUAAAGUAACUGUUAAAGUCGCCUCCAUGAAGCUGCUUUAUUUCACUAUGGGUAGCCUCUUUUUGUUCCUCAUUCUCCACCCAUUUCUCUGACACGAACUUUGUGGGUUCCAUCCACUUGUGACACCCAGCAGCUGGUGCUGGAUAUAAAGACCACUUUGGUGGUCAAUUCCCCCUUCCUAAAAGCAGGAGUUCCCAUUGUGGUGCAGUGGAAACAAAUCUGACUAGAAACCAUGAGGUUUCGAGUUUGAUCCCUGACCUCCCUCGCUCACUGGGUUAAGGAUCCGGUGUUGCCAUGAGCUGUGGUGUAGGUAGCAGAAGUGGCUCAGAUCUGAUGUGGCUGUGGUAUAGUCCAGAAGCUGUAGCUCCAAUUCAACCGCUGGCCUGGGAACCUCCAUAUGCACAUCCCGCCCCAAAAAGCAAAAAAAAAAAAAAAAAAA